CACAUCAAAUUGAAACACCGGUUCCUCUGCGAUCACCGAAAUUAAGCAACGUCAAGGCUGGUCAGUACCUAGAUGAGUGACUACUUGAGAAUAUCAGGUGCUGUAAG
Acanthosepion pharaonis is the source of this 107-nucleotide non-coding RNA. NCBI's taxonomy places the organism in Eukaryota, Metazoa, Mollusca, Cephalopoda, Sepiida, Sepiidae. The record is from the annotation of a GenBank genome assembly.